RNAcentral lists this ribosomal RNA (1980 nucleotides) under Triticum aestivum (bread wheat). RNAcentral's name for it is "partial small subunit ribosomal RNA". The record is from RNAcentral. Lineage: Eukaryota; Viridiplantae; Streptophyta; Magnoliopsida; Poales; Poaceae.
AUGAAGUUUUUGGUGAGCCACAAGGCACAAGUCAUCACGCAGCUUGUUGCUUGGAAGGGCCCGGAUGAUCCAUCUUCUGGGGACUUCUCAGUCAGCGGCGAGCCUAGCGCCCCAGACCUUCAACUUGUCACUUGGAAAAAAACUAGGCCAUACUGCCGCACUGUGUGGAACGGUGUGUCAGUGUCCGGUGGCACAUAUCUAUCAAACACCAGCUCCAUCCUUUAUCAGACGGUUGUCAACUCUGGAGACGAGUUCUACUUCACGUACGCAAUCUCCGACAACUCGGUGUACACACGCGUCAUGCUUGAUUAUACUGGCAAGUACAGGUCUCUAGCAUGGAACAAUCACUCGUCAUCAUGGGCACUCAUCAGUGAAUACCCCACUGCUGCAUGCGAGCUCUACGCCUCAUGUGGCCCAUUCAGUUACUGUGACUUGACUCAAAUGGUCCCAACUUGCCAAUGUCUUGAGGGGUUUGAGACUGUCAAUGCUGCAAAUUUUUCUAAUGGAUGUCGGAGAAAGCAAGGGUUGAAAUGUGGCAAUCAAAGUCAUUUCGUGGCCUUGCCUGGGAUGAAAGUUCCUGACAAGGUCUUGCGUAUACACAACAGAAGCUUGGAUGAGUGCGAGGCUGAGUGCAGGCGCAACUGCUCAUGUGCAGCUUACGCUUAUGCUAACUUGAGCGGGGCCAUAGGUAUGGCUCACUCGUCAAGGUGCUUGGUAUGGUUAGGGGAGCUUGUCGACAUUUGGAAGACAAUCAACGGCGGUGAGAGCCUGUACUUAUGGCUUGCUGAUUCUCCUGUUUAUAAGGGGAUCAGUUCAGUAAAGAUUAUAAUCCUGAUUAUAGCAUGUCUGCUGCUACUAACAUGCGUAUGCCUUUUCUGGGUGUACAAAUAUAAAGGCAAAUUGCAAAAGAAGGAAAAGCAGAAGAAACUGUCGCGAGGAUACUUUAGCAAAUCCAAUCAUCUCGAAGACAAACAUACAGAAUUUCCAUUUGUUAGCUAUGGAGACAUCCUUUCAGCAACAAAUUCUUUCGCUGAUUCCAACUUGCUUGGACGGGGAGGUUUUGGCAAUGUUUACAAGGGCACACUUGAAGGUGGAAAUGAGGUUGCUGUAAAAAGGCUUAGUCAGAGCUCCGGACAAGGUAUAGUGGAGUUCAAAAAUGAAGUGAUUCUAAUUGCCAAGCUGCAGCACAAGAACCUAGUCGGACUUCUUGGGUCGUGCAUUCACGAAGACGAGAAGUUACUGAUCUACGAAUACUUACCUAACAAAAGCUUGGAUGUUUUUCUUUUCGAUGCUUCACGCAAACAUGUGCUUGACUGGUCGACACGGUUCAAAAUAAUUAAAGGAAUAGCAAGAGGUCUUCUUUAUCUCCAUCAAGAUUCAAGACUAACAAUAAUUCACAAAGAUCUCAAAGCAAGCAACAUCUUGUUGGACACAGAAAUGACUCCCAAAAUUUCAGAUUUUGGUAUGGCAAGAAUUUUCGCUACAAACCAAAACCAAGCAAACACUACCAGGGUCGUUGGGACAUAUGGUUACAUGUCGCCUGAAUAUGCGAUGGGAGGUGCUUUUUCUGUAAAAUCAGACACAUAUAGCUUCGGUGUUCUUCUUUUAGAGAUUGUCAGUGGCUUGAAGAUCAAUUCACCUCAGCUCAUAACAAAAUUUUCUAGCCUUAUCACUUAUGCAUGGAGAUUGUGGGAAGAUGGAAACACAAUUGAACUUGUGGACUCUUCCUUUGUUGCAAGUUUCCGACUUCAUGAAGUUCUGCGUUGUAUUCAUGUGGGACUCUUGUGUGUUCAGGACCGUGCUAGGGAUAGGCCACUUAUGUCAUUGGUUAUGUUUAUGUUCGAGAACGAAAGCGCACCGCUUCCAGCUCCAAAGCAACCUGUGUAUUUUGCUCUAGGUACUUGUGCUGACCAAGAAGGAAGGGAGAUUACAUCGAACUCUGUGAAUGCAGUGAGUAUCACAACAGUUGAUGGCCGUUAG